RNAcentral lists this ribosomal RNA (774 nucleotides) under uncultured Neocallimastigales. RNAcentral describes it as "partial large subunit ribosomal RNA". It matches the Rfam family "Eukaryotic large subunit ribosomal RNA", at positions 24 to 648 of the family's 3401-position model. The record is from RNAcentral. Lineage: Eukaryota; Fungi; Neocallimastigomycota; Neocallimastigomycetes; Neocallimastigales.
UACGACUACAUAUCAGGCAUAUCAAUAAGCGGAGGAAAAGAAACUAACAAGGAUUCCCUAGUAACGGCGAGUGAAGCGGGAAGAGCUCAAAUUUGAAAUCUUCAAGGUUCUACCUUGACGAAUUGUAGUUUAAAGAAGUGUUUUCUGUUAGAUGAGUAGCAAAAGUUCCUUGGAAUGGGACAUCAUAGAGGGUGAGAAUCCCGUAUUUGGUUAUUCAUUCUAGCUUUGUGAUACACUUUCAAAGAGUCGGAUUGUUUGGGAAUGCAGUCCAAAAUGGGUGGUAAAUUUCAUCUAAAGCUAAAUAUUGGCGAGAGACCGAUAGCGAACAAGUACCGUGAGGGAAAGAUGAAAAGAACUUUGAAAAGAGAGUUAAACAGUACGUGAAAUUGUCAAAAGGGAAAGCGUUUGACACCAGUGUUGUUUUUCCGAAAAUCAAUUACGAAUGGCUUGAUUUUGUGUUGUAUUGACCUUAUCAGCUUUCUUCACUUUUUUCGAGUCUUUCUUAAUGCACUUUUCGGUUAACAAGUCAACAUCAAUUUCUUUUGUUGUAAAAGAGUAUUCGGAAGGUGGCUUUCUUUUCGGAGAAAGUGUUUAUAGCCCUAUACUUCUACAAUCGGAGAGAUUGAGGUCUGCAGCGUAGAUCCUUCGGGGUUAGAUACACUUGUGCUAAGUUGUAGCUUUUCAUAGACAACUUGUUGACUAUGUUUAGUCAUGCGGCUUACUCGCUUGUGCUAUUUUACCUACGCUUAGGAUGUUGAGUAGCGACAUACGCAC